Molecule: ribosomal RNA, 433 nt
Filed under: uncultured bacterium
Lineage: Bacteria
Description: partial 16S ribosomal RNA
Rfam family: Bacterial small subunit ribosomal RNA
Source: RNAcentral
AGCGAACGCUGGCGGCAGGCCUAACACAUGCAAGUCGAACGAACUCUUCGGAGUUAGUGGCGGACGGGUGAGUAACACGUGGGAACGUGCCUUUAGGUUCGGAAUAACUCAGGGAAACUUGUGCUAAUACCGAAUGUGCCCUUCGGGGGAAAGAUUUAUCGCCUUUAGAGCGGCCCGCGUCUGAUUAGCUCGUUGGUGAGGUAAAGGCUCACCAAGGCGACGAUCAGUAGCUGGUCUGAGAGGAUGAUCAGCCACAUUGGGACUGAGACACGGCCCAAACUCCUACGGGAGGCAGCAGUGGGGAAUCUUGCGCAAUGGGCGAAAGCCUGACGCAGCCAUGCCGCGUGAAUGAUGAAGGUCUUAGGAUUGUAAAAUUCUUUCACCGGGGACGAUAAUGACGGUACCCGGAGAAGAAGCCCCGGCUAACUUCGUG